Halichondria panicea is the source of this 1333-nucleotide long non-coding RNA. RefSeq lists it as uncharacterized. The record is from RefSeq and is a predicted model, not a curated record. The transcript has 3 exons. NCBI's taxonomy places the organism in Eukaryota, Metazoa, Porifera, Demospongiae, Suberitida, Halichondriidae.
UCUACACUGUUGGGGACAAUGGAUAUUUUUAUAGCAGAGAGUUAGGAAGUUCAAUUCCUGGAGGAGAGUACGAGUGGCGACUUUAGGCCAGUGGAGAGCGAUCGAUCCUAACCGAUCCUAAGAGAAGAACCACGUAAACGUUGUAAACUUUCCAAGGUAUUGAUUAGAAUGGUGCCUGUCCAUCCAAAAGAAGCUAAGGGAGGAUAUAAAUUAUCUGACUCACUGCAAAUAUCUUGCCUGGACCAAUCAAAUUGCGGAAUCAUUACGUAAUGCUUUACAGAUUUCUCCCCCUCCUUAGGCUUAGCCUCGAAUCCAGGCCGAUUAUUUUAUUCUUAAUCGGCCUGGUCUCGAGGCUAGCCCCUUUUCUUUCUUUAUAACCUCUACAUAUUGGGACACACAGAACAGUACUGUAGUAUGAGUGAUAGGCAAUUCUUGCAGGCACAGAGCAAACCAUACAAAUAAAGGGGUGCUAGAAGCUGAGACUGUUAGUGUCAUUGAUGUUCUUCAUGUUGGAGACACUCUAAACUACACAAUUCCAUGUUGCAGCUUUAUCACAGAGACAGGAGUGCCUGGGGUGCUUCUCACAGGGAUCUUGGAGACAGGAGUGCCUGGGGUGCUCCUCAUAGGGAUCCUGUCUCCAGGAUCAAGAGUGCUUCUCAACAGAGACAAGAUCAAAGUGCCUAAUUGCGCAUGCGCAUAUACUGUGCUAAUGCCCCACCUAUCCCCGUACUGGAGGUGGGACUUGCCAUUGAUGAUAAGAGCACAGUUCUAGUUCUGCAGAUUCUCAUUCAUCAUUCUCUCAGAUCGUCUCAAUGCCUCACUUGCUACCUGCUGUUAUAGUAGCUCUCUCCUUGGCGGGGAUGGCCCGCACUGACACUAUGAAAGGCUGCUCCCCUGUAUCUUCUAUGGUGUCAUAUGAAUACACUACAGGAGAAUAUGCAGGCUGCUCUGGACAGAUUGAGACUGCUAGCUGCUCUGGGGACUGCUACUCUGAAAUGGAACCAAGAGUCUACCAGAGGAAAGAGGAUGCCCCCCAGGGAGUAGACCUCACCCCCUUCAAGCACGACUGUCAGUGCUGCUCUAUCAGCAGCAAAAUAAAUAAAACUUUGCCCGUCGAUCUGACAUGUGAAGAUGGAUCAGUCAAACAGAAGGAAGAGGAUGUGCGCUUUGCUACAAAAUGUCUGUGCACUAGAUGUACACUUCUUCCAAGAUAGUUGAAUGCUGAACUAUGGACAACCAUUUCAUAUACUGCUAGCCUAUUAUGUUAUUAUUAUUCAAGAGAGAAAUUAUACCAUCCAUUUAUUGAUAUCAGCAUCUGUAACGUCAGUGUCAA